GAUGGAACCGCGAACGGAAGGAUCGGAACGGAAGCAAGGCGCUGACUGGUUGAAAAGCUUAAGCAGUGAGUGGGUCUGUUAACAAAAUAACCAAUGAGAGAGACUGAUCGCUGUGAGGGCGGUGAUUGGCAUUUCUCGUAGCCAUUCAGUUCCUCUCUCUCCCUGAGGCCCACAGGGGGCGCUCCGGCUCGCCGUGGUUACCAUGGCAGCCACCAUGGCGGCGGGCCUGCGGCUGUGCCCCCCCUUUGGGCGCUGGGUCUGGGCUGGGUCCUCUGGGAAAAACAGCCUGGCGUGGGAGCAAACCGCAUGGCUGAGAGGAAAUACGUGUCCAGCAGAGUUGUUAAGUGCAGUGAGAUCUUCCACUGGAUUGUGCAAAGAAAAGGCAAAGAGCACAGUAGUGGUGCUUUGACCUGGAUAGAGGCUCAAAUGUCUUCCUGCAUACUGGACUGCAUAAACUUCAGAGUUUUAAGCACUGCACAAUUUUUCAUUAGCCAGUGAUGGAACAGUUUGCAAACUUGCUUGUGGCCUUCUGCAUCCAGAUCAGGAGCAGUGCGUGCAGAGCUGCUGCACAGCUGAGGAUGAACUUCCCAUGGUGAUGAAGAGGCACAAAGGAAUGUUUCUGAGUGCCCAGCUGCCUGCAUUCUUGUUCAGCUCAUUCCUUAAAGACUGCUGAGAUGUGGUUGUAUUAGUAAUGAUAUGUUACAGUGCCUUGAGACCUGGAUAAACAACUAAUGAGGCAUCUUAGUCAAAAUAAAAAAGAUUUUCCCUCCUGGUUCCUCUGUUUGAACACUCAUUUCUGCAGGAAGGCAUGCAGUGCCACUGGAAAGCACACACCUCCUGUCCAAACACCACGAUGCCUGCAGGUUGCCAUAGCAAUGAGAAGAGCUGAGGCCAUUUGGGGCUGUAAUUCUGCAAUGCACACAGCAGUGAGGUGCCACAUCCCCGUGCUCAGCAAAGUCAGGCUCCAGCAGCCACAUGCAGCCUGGGAAGGGUGUUUCACAGACAUUGAGCCUGUUGUGCAGGCUGCAUCCCUGAAUGUGCCUUCACAGCAUGGCCAAAUAGUUCCCAGAUAACACCAUGGCUGUCACACCUGUGGACUGCAACAUACCUGGCAGUCACAAAUGGAGAUAUGGCUUGAGAAAGCUGGUGUCUAUUUAAACAUCGUUGCUAGACUAUACUUGCAAUGGACAGUCUAAAUAAAGAUACUGAAUGCCUUAUCAGGCCAAGUUUUACAAAGCAGAAAACCACUACUUGAGAGUUGGCACAAAAGGAAAUGAUUUAAUCCCCAGAAGCGAGUGACAGCUGGGAACUGCAUGAAAACAGCAAAUGCUGUGCCCAGAAAGCUGUAGUCCUGCAUAAAA
Molecule: long non-coding RNA, 1361 nt
Organism: Tympanuchus pallidicinctus (lesser prairie-chicken)
Lineage: Eukaryota; Metazoa; Chordata; Aves; Galliformes; Phasianidae
Exons: 4
Source: RefSeq, a predicted model, not a curated record